RNAcentral lists this long non-coding RNA (353 nucleotides) under Mytilus galloprovincialis (Mediterranean mussel). Lineage: Eukaryota; Metazoa; Mollusca; Bivalvia; Mytilida; Mytilidae. The record is from RNAcentral.
CAAAUUAAACCUCUACAGACAACUUUAAGGGUGCACUCACUCAUGAGGUGAUCCUUAAAACAUUCUCUCACUUAAACUGAAUGUGCUUAUUGUUUUUAUCUUAUAGUUAUAAAAUGGGAUGAAAUUUGAAAAAAAUAGGCAGGACAGGAGUUUUGAGUUAAAAAAAAAAAGGCAGGAUGAGACACUUGCAAAAAAAAAGUCAGGACGACAAGUUAGGUAAAACAAAGUCAGGAUAAACUAAAAAAAAAAAAAAAAAAAAGGCAGGACCGAACAGAGUGAAAAAUAAAAAGGCAGGACAGAUAUUACAGCUAAAAAAAAUGCAGGACAAAAUUUUUCAUCCUAGCCCCCCCCCC